Ictalurus punctatus (channel catfish) is the source of this 729-nucleotide long non-coding RNA. RefSeq lists it as uncharacterized. The record is from RefSeq and is a predicted model, not a curated record. Lineage: Eukaryota; Metazoa; Chordata; Actinopteri; Siluriformes; Ictaluridae. The transcript is spliced from 2 exons.
GCUCCGUUCUCUUGGCCUUCAGGGUUGGUGUAAGGAGGCCGUUCUCCACGGAGAACAUCUCGGGGUUCAGGACGAUGUCCCUCACCUGGACACACACAGGAAGAGCACGAACACACGGCAUUCGACAUCGCACCGACAAUCGCAAAGCGUGCGCAUCAGAACGUACGAGUCCUCACCUUGUCGAACAUGCGGUUGAGGAGUCGGGGGACGACGGGGAACACGGUGGGUUUGAGAGUCUUCAGAUCGUCCAUCAGCGUACGGAUGUCGCCCUGAAAGAAACCGAUCCUCGCGCCGUGCACCAGGAUCACACUCUAUACACGAGGUCGAGGAUCGGGACAUUUAUCUAUUUAUUUAUUUAUUUAUUUUCAUUUCAAAAUCAUGCGCAGAAUAUUUGUGCGUAACUGCUAAUCUGUUCAUUAAUAAUCUGUUAUUAAACAAAACACAACAACCGUAGCAGUUAAAAAAAACAACUGGCAGAAAUGUAAAUAUUCAAGACGUUUCUGUAUCGUUUUUGCUGUUUUUUUUUCAACUUUUUAAUUUGAUAGAUAUAUUAAAAAAAAAAAAAAAAAAGAAUCUCAGCCAAGUGUUAGCUAGCUUUUGACUCGGUUCAUGAAACAGAACCUUGAUGUUUUUUGGUAUAAAGAUUGAUUAGCGGGAUACGCUAAAUAUGCUUUACAUCACACGUAAGAAAUGUGUACAUUCUUACCAUUUUUGUCUCGUUUUCACUGG